Molecule: ribosomal RNA, 859 nt
Filed under: Escherichia coli
Lineage: Bacteria; Pseudomonadati; Pseudomonadota; Gammaproteobacteria; Enterobacterales; Enterobacteriaceae
Also listed under: 1 other name
Description: partial 23S ribosomal RNA
Rfam family: Bacterial large subunit ribosomal RNA
Source: RNAcentral
UCCUGACUGACCGAUAGUGAACCAGUACCGUGAGGGAAAGGCGAAAAGAACCCCGGCGAGGGGAGUGAAAAAGAACCUGAAACCGUGUACGUACAAGCAGUGGGAGCACGCUUAGGCGUGUGACUGCGUACCUUUUGUAUAAUGGGUCAGCGACUUAUAUUCUGUAGCAAGGUUAACCGAAUAGGGGAGCCGAAGGGAAACCGAGUCUUAACUGGGCGUUAAGUUGCAGGGUAUAGACCCGAAACCCGGUGAUCUAGCCAUGGGCAGGUUGAAGGUUGGGUAACACUAACUGGAGGACCGAACCGACUAAUGUUGAAAAAUUAGCGGAUGACUUGUGGCUGGGGGUGAAAGGCCAAUCAAACCGGGAGAUAGCUGGUUCUCCCCGAAAGCUAUUUAGGUAGCGCCUCGUGAAUUCAUCUCCGGGGGUAGAGCACUGUUUCGGCAAGGGGGUCAUCCCGACUUACCAACCCGAUGCAAACUGCGAAUACCGGAGAAUGUUAUCACGGGAGACACACGGCGGGUGCUAACGUCCGUCGUGAAGAGGGAAACAACCCAGACCGCCAGCUAAGGUCCCAAAGUCAUGGUUAAGUGGGAAACGAUGUGGGAAGGCCCAGACAGCCAGGAUGUUGGCUUAGAAGCAGCCAUCAUUUAAAGAAAGCGUAAUAGCUCACUGGUCGAGUCGGCCUGCGCGGAAGAUGUAACGGGGCUAAACCAUGCACCGAAGCUGCGGCAGCGACGCUUAUGCGUUGUUGGGUAGGGGAGCGUUCUGUAAGCCUGCGAAGGUGUGCUGUGAGGCAUGCUGGAGGUAUCAGAAGUGCGAAUGCUGACAUAAGUAACGAUAAAGCGGGUGAAAAGCCCG